UGGGGUUUCUUGUCGCUGGAGAAAUGGCACUAGCUACCAGCUGCUAGCUAGAGCCAUCCUCCAGCAACAAGACACCCUA
Molecule: small RNA, 79 nt
Filed under: Manihot esculenta (cassava)
Lineage: Eukaryota; Viridiplantae; Streptophyta; Magnoliopsida; Malpighiales; Euphorbiaceae
Description: precursor microRNA miR3627a
Source: RNAcentral